RNAcentral lists this ribosomal RNA (717 nucleotides) under gamma proteobacterium IMCC14470. RNAcentral describes it as "bacterial SSU rRNA". It matches the Rfam family "Bacterial small subunit ribosomal RNA", at positions 28 to 743 of the family's 1533-position model. Lineage: Bacteria; Pseudomonadati; Pseudomonadota; Gammaproteobacteria. The record is from RNAcentral.
AUUGAACGUUGGCGGCACGCCUAAUACAUGCAAGUCGAACGAGAAAGCACUUCGGUGUGAGUACAGUGGCGGACGGGUGAGUAACGCGUAGGAAUCUACCUAGUAGUGGGGGACAACUCGAGGAAACUCGAGCUAAUACCGCAUACGCUCUUAGGAGGAAAGUGGGGGAUCUUCGGACCUCACGCUAUUAGAGGAGCCUGCGUUAGAUUAGCUUGUUGGUGAGGUAAAGGCUCACCAAGGCGACGAUCUAUAGCUGGUCUGAGAGGACGAUCAGCCACACUGGAACUGAGACACGGUCCAGACUCCUACGGGAGGCAGCAGUAGGGAAUCUUGGGCAAUGGGCGAAAGCCUGACCCAGCGAUGCCGCGUGUGCGAAGAAGGCCUUAGGGUUGUAAAGCACUUUCAGUCGUGAAGAAAAGCUACGAUUUAAUAUGUCGUGGUCUUGACGUUAGCGACAGAAGAAGUACCGGCUAACUCCGUGCCAGCAGCCGCGGUAAUACGGAGGGUACGAACGUUAAUCGGAAUUACUGGGCGUAAAGCGCGCGUAGGCGGUUUGAUAAGUGGGAUGUGAAAGCCCCGGGCUCAACCUGGGAACUGCAUUCCAAACUGUCAAACUAGAGUGUGGUAGAGGGCGGUAGAAUUUCCUGUGUAGCGGUGAAAUGCGUAGAUAUAGGAAGGAAUACCGAUGGCGAAGGCAGCCGCCUGGACCAACACUGA